Molecule: ribosomal RNA, 399 nt
Filed under: Stevenia sp. n. 9 AT-2015
Lineage: Eukaryota; Metazoa; Arthropoda; Insecta; Diptera; Rhinophoridae
Description: partial small subunit ribosomal RNA
Source: RNAcentral
CUGGGAUUAGAUACCCUGUUAUUUAAAAUGUAAUUUUAUAAAUUAAGGUAGUAUUAGAUAUGAUCUUUAAACUUAAAAAAUUUGGCGGUAUUUUAGUCUAUUCAGAGGAACCUGUUUUUUAAUCGAUAAUCCACGAUGGACCUUACUUAAAUUUGUAAUCAGUUUAUAUACCGUUGUUAUUAGAAUAUUUUAUAAGAAUGUUAAUUUUCAUAAUUUUUAUAAAAAAAUAUAUCAAAUCAAGGUGUAGCUAAUAUUUAAGUAUUAAUGGGUUACAAUAAAAUUAUUUAAGCGGAUAUAAAUUUGAAAUGUUUAUUUAAGAUGGAUUUGAUAGUAAAAUUAUAAAGAUUAAUAAUUUGAUUUUAGCUCUAAAAUAUGUACAAAUCGCCCGUCACUCUCUGA